Molecule: unclassified non-coding RNA, 200 nt
Filed under: Hevea brasiliensis (rubber tree)
Lineage: Eukaryota; Viridiplantae; Streptophyta; Magnoliopsida; Malpighiales; Euphorbiaceae
Source: RNAcentral
AAAGUCCACUUGCCGAAGGAAACAAGGCAUGGGAGUGGUGGAAGUGGUAGUAGCCGGGAACAAUAUCAGCAGAAUGAUUCUCCACUGCAUCCAGGGGAGUUGGUUAUCCGCAAGAAGAAGAGGAAAGACAGGGACAAGUCCGUGGUGAAGUCGAGGACUGGAUCAACUGGUCCAGUUUCUCCCCCUAGCAUGGGUCGUAA